UCAUUUUUGUGAUUGGUGCAAUUGUAUUUCAACAAGUUGCAUAGUCAUAAAAAUGAUG
Molecule: microRNA precursor, 58 nt
Filed under: Centruroides sculpturatus (bark scorpion)
Lineage: Eukaryota; Metazoa; Arthropoda; Arachnida; Scorpiones; Buthidae
Description: Csc-Mir-153-P19b-v1_pre stem-loop
Source: RNAcentral